ACUUUUUUUGAGUUAAGACGAGGAUAAACUUAAUGAAUCCAUACUGUGAGCGGAUAGGGAAACUGAUAAAAAAGCUGGCGAUAUUUUGUGCCUGACUCAACAUAUUUUUCACUGGAAGAAUUGAACACGCUUUGGCAACAAUAAGGUUUAAACGAUGACUGGAGUAAUGAACAUGCAACGCCUUCGGGUUUUUCUCUAAUAUUCUCCCAGAAAUACCUUUUACCUGGCUGGACACAGCACUAGCACCGUCAUAUCCCUGGCCUCGACAAUUUUGAAGGGAAGCCCGACAUCUUGAAGUGUACUUUGACUAAUGAACGGAAUCAAAUCCAAAGGCGAAACAGUUCGGUAUACAAAUGAAAAUGUUCUUGAAUCAUGUAAAACUUCAAAUUUAUUCAAGAAUGUAUUAAAUUAUCCAGAAAGUAUAAGCUUGGAGUUAUCAUUAAAAAGUGCCUUGCACCAGAUAUUUUCAAUAAUUAGCUAUCGAGACCAUCCUCAGUUGU
Molecule: long non-coding RNA, 500 nt
Organism: Dendronephthya gigantea
Lineage: Eukaryota; Metazoa; Cnidaria; Anthozoa; Malacalcyonacea; Nephtheidae
Exons: 4
Source: RefSeq, a predicted model, not a curated record